AUGCUUCAGUCUGGGCUGGAAUAGACUGACUCAGCUACAUCAGCAUCCACAGAGCCACGCCGUCAGCCAAAGCCUGUACUGGUUACUCCUUUUUUUUUUCCAAGUACAUCCCUCACAUGUAUCUGAGUUAGUGGACAGUUUGGUGGAAAACCUAACCUUUCAUUUUGUGUCACAGUGUGUGCUGACCUGACUCUGAACUAUGAGUUGCCUUUGGGUGGUCUGAAGAGCUCUCAAACAGCACUUUUCCUCCAUCAUUAUUCAUCACCUGGACAAAGCUUGAACUGACACACAGCCUGAUGGAUUUUCAGCCAG
Non-coding RNA from Xyrichtys novacula (pearly razorfish), 312 nucleotides. The record is from the annotation of a GenBank genome assembly. NCBI's taxonomy places the organism in Eukaryota, Metazoa, Chordata, Actinopteri, Labriformes, Labridae.